GACAUCGACCAAAAUCAGAGAAUGUGCCAUUUGACCCAAAAGAGCAGCGAUGUCAGUGUCUGAAGAAAAUGCCAACAUUCGAGACCACCACCGCCGCUUGCUGGCGGCGAAAUACGAGCUAAGGCGGAACCUGUACAAGGCCCUCUGCAAGGACCCAACCCUUCCCAGCGAUCUGCGCGAGGAGAACCGCUUCAAGCUCUCCAAGCUGCCCCGGAACAGCUCCUUCACGCGCGUCAGGAACCGCUGCAUCUUCUCCGGCCGCGCACGCGCCGUCUACGAGACCUUCCGUAUGUCCCGUAUCGUUUUCCGUGCUCUCGCCUCCAAAGGCAUGCUAAAUGGCGUUAAGAAAGCGUCUUGGUAGCCUCCCAAAACGAUUGCUGAUAAGACUGCAGAAGUCAGUAAAGUUCAUCUGUUGCUAUGUUACUGAUCGGAAUACGACAGACUGGUCAUUCCCUUCUUCUUCUGGUUAUGGUAAAAAGUAAUACGUUUAUUGGUGUUGAAUAAAAAAGUUUUAGGCUUAACGAUUUGCGCUUACAUUGUUUUUGAGUCGAAGUAUGGAACAGAGCGUGUGUGCUUCUUCGUGCGCGUGAACAUUGUUCGUAGGAGAGGAAACUAACAGCUUUAAGAUCAGAAACAAGGGAAGAAGCUUUUGAGCUCUACUUUGAAUUGCUUGAUCAUCUCAUUAAGAUCCUCCUGGAUCAUAAUAUAACUCAAGGUGCUUAACACACAUGACAGCCUACUCUGAAUCCGAAAAGCACCCAAAGAAAAGAAUUUGUGUACAGGUAGAACACAGGAUAAUAAAACUUGUCAAAACUAGCAUUUCGAUUGAUAAUAUGCUACACGUCAUGAUCGGAAUAAGAAGGUUGUGUCAAAUAUGUUAGAUGGCCACUAAGUUUUGUUAAAAAACUGUCGAUGGCCGUCCCAACCGCCAGUAUACAAAUAUGUUAGUGAUUAUCACAACCUCAAUGAUCCAGCAGCCAUUCAAUGUUGAGAAUGAGUCCCACAUUUUUGGGAGGAGGGGAUCUUGCAUGAGGGCUUAUAAGAGGUUGUGCUACUUCCUAUAUUUCUUAUUGGUUUUAUAAUGAA
This 1086-nucleotide small RNA is filed under the name Malus domestica (apple). RNAcentral's name for it is "sRNA MD03G0207600". Lineage: Eukaryota; Viridiplantae; Streptophyta; Magnoliopsida; Rosales; Rosaceae. The record is from RNAcentral.